UUCUACCAAUUAAUCUCAUCUCAUAAUACUUGAGAUUUUCUUCUUUAUCCACCAUGGGUAUAUUUAUAAUUAGUGUGCUCGUACCGGAUACCUGUGAAAUACAUUUUUUUUUUAUGUAUUAUUAUUUUACGGGCAUUUUAGAUCUGAGUUCCGCACGUGUUUUAUGUUUUAUUUAGACACAUUAUGCCAUAGAAUUUUACAUCUAUAAUACAGCGUUAUACCAGAUUGAUACAGGAAAUGCAAAGUAUAUGUAUAUAGCGUACAGAGGGAGGAACUUCUCUCUGCAGUUUACCUGUAUAACUAAGGUACCUUUAAGUAAUUGCUUUUGCAUUCAACUUGAUGAUGAGGCUAGAACGAUUCGUCGAGACUGCUGCAGUCCGUACAUACCUUAUACACACAGAUAUACACGUAUAUAUACGAUUCCGUAAGCUACUGCGACUUCAGUGGCUCUCAAUUUGAAAGUGAAGAAAAAAAAUUGCAGGAGUGGACGAAGUGAAAAUUGACUAAAGAACUGAACCGAAUAACGAUCCCAUGGUAUACAAAUUAACAAGCAAAUAAUCAACUUGUACAGCGUACGAUCAACGAUUUUUCAUAAUGGUUCUUACAAUAAUUUUAUUCCAUUGUAUUUUAUUUAUUGGUUUAGAAAAAAAGUUUUCUUCAUUUUGACGGAAUAUUUUUUAUUUAAGAAAUUGAGUAAUUAGUUUUUCUCGUUAUUCGAAGGAAUCGAAGAAUAGUUACUUCGAAUACGUGUCAUGAGAAAAGAAGAAAAGAAAUUUGAAAAAAAGAAGAUCUAACAUUGAUCAAAUUGAAGAUUAUUUCGCGCGUAAAUUAAGAUUGAUAUAUUAUUCAUAUUCAAAAUAUCACAGCGUGUUGAAUAUAAUUAUAUCCUCGCAGUUGAGUGUAAACAGCUCUUUAGCUCUGGUUAAGUAAUUAUAUAUAUUUCUAAAGCAUCUGAGCAGUAGCAACAGCAGCAGUAGGAGCAGCAUUAUAGCGGGUAGGUAUACUGAAACGUAGGUAAAAGUAAGAGAAAGAGAACAAGAAAAAAAAAAAAAAAAUGAAGAAAGGAAGAAAAAACGUGACUGCUAGGGAAAUGAAUACUUUUUCAUUCACGGAGUUCUUUUAACCAUACUGUACGUAUAUAAUAUACAGACGUACGCAUGCACGUACACAUUACUUGCGGAAACACACCACUACGAAAGAGUAAGAAUUAUAAAAACUCCUUUAUAAUGUGCGGCAGUAAAAAAAGGUUGAGAUUAAGAUUGAGAUUGAGAUCAAGAUUGAGAUUAAUACGUGGAAAAUUAAAGUUACAUACUGUACACCCUCGUAUCGGGCUUUAAACACCGGCGUCAAUAAAUCGAGGAUCGUCCGUACGAAAGGAAACAGACGAAUGCCUUUAUCAAAAAAUAUAAAAUACGGUGGACGCGACGAUCUUGCACUCAUAAGGGUAUGAGCUCGAGGCUCAAGAUGGAUGAAAUUGUAGGAGCACGCGACCUCACGUCUUAUAAUACCAACGGUCGUAGCGGGUGAUGUCAAGGACCGCGAAAAAGGUAUUUUUCCACAUAAACUCCUUGGAUUCUAACAGCCGGAAAAUUCCCUUAACGCGCUUCUGGGUACCCAAAGCUGGUGGCUACUGGAGGGGUCUUCGCCUAAUGGGCGCAAAGUUAUAGUCGACCCCGAGGUCGACCCAUAUUUCGGCUACCGUGACGAGAAAAAAAAAGGACAAGAUCGGUGGAGCAUUGUUUUUAUUAGUUUGUAACGUACGUACGUACAUGAUUUCAAGUAUUCGAUGAAGUCGGAUACAUAUAACAAUUUUGCAAAACUCGUUAUACGUCAAUUAAGUUAAUAGGUACCCACAUUUAUUUUUCUCCAAUCAACUUUGACCGUAUUCAUCUUCGAUGACGAUUCGUUCGUUUUUCAUUAAAUUCUUCAGGGUAAUCCGCGGUCUGCGGCUAUGGAAUCAAAAGCUAUACGAAGAAAAGGAAUAAAGAAAGGAAAAGAGAGCAAAAGUAAGGUAGAAGUGGACUGCAAUUACACUCGAGGUGGUUGGUGCGAUCUGAAUUCUCUUUUGAAUUUCUUACACGGCAUAGUUCGCCCUCUUUGUCCCGGAAAUCGCGUCACACCCCCACCACCUUAACCGCCGCCUCCUCUAUGUACCUACCUACCUACCUACCUACCUACCAUUUUCUGCAGUUGGUUUCCUUCGAGCAAGUUCAACGUUCAAACUUCCACGUUUCCACCCUCCGCGUUGCGGUAUAGUACCCGUAACGGAUUGAAUUUCAAGGCACUUUUAUACAACGAAAUGAACGAGCAACGAUUUUAAUAAGACCGCCGCGCGCGCCCGUUAUAAGAACGAUUUGCCAUAUUGCCGUUUUAUGACAGGAUCGUGUCGGAAUCGAUCAACGCCAGAACUAUAACUCACCCCAUCCUGCGGUACGUUUAUUUGCUUUUCUUUUUGUUUCUUAUUAAUUGAGUUUCCUUUUUCAUUCUUUCUUUCGUUUUAAUUCUCUGCUGUUCUUUUAUUUUCGAGCGUUUCUUACAUCCUCAUCCAUCUCCUGUACCCACAUACUGCAUUAAUAUUCCAAUUAAAUCGACGCCUCGGUACCUACAUACAUAUAUACGUACGUAUCGAAACAACACGACGCCGUAUGAGAAAGCUCGCGCAAUAUUCCCUGCUUCGACCAUAGGACACGCUGCACAACUUAUUAUUAUACACAUGUUUUAUCACCAUCUACUACGCAAAGGAUAAAACGGAAGAAAAGAAGAAAAAAAAAAAGAGAAUAAGUAAAUGAAUAUAAAAGGAGAAUAAAAUAAGAGCUGGCGCGACUCGGGAGUAAUAAAAUCGGUGUUGUAAUCCUAGAUCUGCAUUGAGACACAACAGCCUAUAUGUUAUAACCUAGGCUACUUUUACUCACAGCAGAUAUCAGGUUUUAUCUAAUGGGUAGUCUCCUACUUUUUUUGUAUUCCUUCUUUUUACACCACUUCCUGAUUUAGCGAGGGAAGUUAUUUUGAUCACUCCUAUACCUGGUUGAUGUGUAAGGUUGAGUUUUCAGAAGACAUUCAUUUGUGAGGUCUAGAAAAUUGAAUUCAAUUAUGUUUUUGAUAAGUUAUUUGGUAACAUAAUACGAUUGGAUCUAAUCAAAAUUUGGAUUCGCUGAAUUCAAUACUUUUUGAGUUACAGUUGGUCAAUUUUUAUGCUUGGGCUUUGCUCUGAACGGCGCAAAGACGAUUUUCCAACCAAAACUAUCGUGAAAGUUUUCACAAGAUACCGAAAUAAAGCUAAAUAGAUUCGAGUGAUCUCAAAACGGUCAAUUGCGAACGUGCGAUUCGAUAUUCGGUCAUCGUAGCAUCUCGAAGGUAGAAACUUCUUUUCCGAAGCAACGGCAGUAUGGCUGCGACAGCCGAAGCGACGUCGUCAGAAGCGACAUCGAUGGCAGUACGCACAUCCUUGAAAAAGGAGAAGACAAAGCUGUAGAGGAGAUGGAGAGAAAAGGCAUACAUUGGGAUUUGUACUUGACAGACGUCGAAGUUACCCAGUUCUUCGCGAUACGGUUCAACUUUCAACAACACUAUAUGCCUACGUUGUGCUGAAAAAUUCGUAUACAGGCUCUUGAAUCGUCAUCGAGGUGCCUGGUUCAUCACAUUACCUAUUCAACUUCCGACCACGAAGGACAGGACUUGCAUGGCAUUGCACAAUACGUUUACAGGUGAUUAUAAAAAUAUAUCAUCAAAAUAUAUUCAAUACAUUAUAUUAUAACAACACAUUGACAGCAAUAUAUUGACAUAUAAUAUAUUAUAACAUAUAAUUAAUAGAUCAACGUAGAAUAUAAUAUUUGUAAUAAUAUAUUCUUAUAAGUAUCUCAUUAUUAAUCAGUCUUCCGUAUGUUUCAGGUUCUCGGGUAUGCUGCCACCACAGUUGUAGCCCGGACUCCCCCUGUUUAUCGGGGGGAGUCCACUUACUGUCCCCUGGGACAGCGCGGCCUCCCACCGCCCCCGGGGUCCCAGGGGACCCAGUCCCCGAGGACAUGUCUUCGGGGAUGCGGUAUCCCCGCUGGAGGGGAUGCCAU
Long non-coding RNA from Athalia rosae (coleseed sawfly), 4064 nucleotides. RefSeq lists it as uncharacterized. The record is from RefSeq and is a predicted model, not a curated record. Lineage: Eukaryota; Metazoa; Arthropoda; Insecta; Hymenoptera; Athaliidae. The transcript is spliced from 3 exons.